This 507-nucleotide ribosomal RNA is filed under the name uncultured bacterium. Its description in RNAcentral is "partial 16S ribosomal RNA". It matches the Rfam family "Bacterial small subunit ribosomal RNA", at positions 28 to 507 of the family's 1533-position model. The record is from RNAcentral.
GACGAACGCUGGCGGCGUGCCUAAUACAUGCAAGUCGAACGCAUUUUCUUUCACCGUAGCUUGCUACACCGAAAGAAAAUGAGUGGCGAACGGGUGAGUAACACGUGGGUAACCUGCCCAUCAGCGGGGGAUAACACUUGGAAACAGGUGCUAAUACCGCAUAAUUCCAUUUACCGCAUGGUAAAUGGAUGAAAGGCGCUUUUGCGUCACUGAUGGAUGGACCCGCGGUGCAUUAGCUAGUUGGUGGGGUAACGGCCUACCAAGGCUGCGAUGCAUAGCCGACCUGAGAGGGUGAUCGGCCACACUGGGACUGAGACACGGCCCAGACUCCUACGGGAGGCAGCAGUAGGGAAUCUUCGGCAAUGGACGCAAGUCUGACCGAGCAACGCCGCGUGAUUGAAGAAGGGUUUCGGAUCGUAAAACUCUGUUGUUAGAGAAGAACAAGGAUGAGAGUGGAAAGUUCAUCCCUUGACGGUAUCUAACCAGAAAGCCACGGCUAACUACGUG